This 497-nucleotide ribosomal RNA is filed under the name uncultured bacterium. Its description in RNAcentral is "partial 16S ribosomal RNA". It matches the Rfam family "Bacterial small subunit ribosomal RNA", at positions 28 to 507 of the family's 1533-position model. The record is from RNAcentral.
GAUGAACGCUGGCGGCGUGCCUAAUACAUGCAAGUCGAGCGAACAGACGAGGAUCUUGCUCCUCUGACGUUAGCGGCGGACGGGUGAGUAACACGUGGAUAACCUACCUAUAAGACUGGGAUAACUUCGGGAAACCGGAGCUAAUACCGGAUAAUAUAUUGAACCGCAUGGUUCAAUAGUGAAAGACGGUUUUGCUGUCACUUAUAGAUGGAUCCGCGCCGCAUUAGCUAGUUGGUAAGGUAACGGCUUACCAAGGCAACGAUGCGUAGCCGACCUGAGAGGGUGAUCGGCCACACUGGAACUGAGACACGGUCCAGACUCCUACGGGAGGCAGCAGUAGGGAAUCUUCCGCAAUGGGCGAAAGCCUGACGGAGCAACGCCGCGUGAGUGAUGAAGGUCUUCGGAUCGUAAAACUCUGUUAUUAGGGAAGAAAAAAUGUGUAAGUAACUAUGCACGUCUUGACGGUACCUAAUCAGAAAGCCACGGCUAACUACGUG